UUCAAAAAGCACAACUUAAAUUUGUCUUGCAGGGAACUAUUUACAUAGCAUUUACAUUGUGUUAGGUAUUCUAAGUAAACUAGAGAUUAUUUAAAGUAUAUGGGAGGAUGUGUGUAGGUUAUAUGAAAUACUGUGCCAUUUUAAUAAGAAACUUGAGCAUCUGCAAAUUUUGAUAUCCUCGGCGGUUCUGAAACCAAUCCCCUCCCCCCCAGAUACUGUGGGGAGACUGUAUAAUAUCAGGAGCUUCAUUUCACAGGUUUUCUUCUACUGGUGCUCAAUUAUGAGAAAUGUAUGAAAUACAGCAUUUAAGGUGCAAGUAUUAGGUAUUUCAGCAUCUUUCUCACUACACCACUCUACCUCAGAUGUCAUGUUUGCUCUUCCAAUCAAUAAUUAGACAUUUACUGCACAUCACAUAGGUGCAGGUAAAAUGUGCCAGGUAAAAUGCAAGGUGAAAGAUGUUGCCCUUAGGAACUUAUAUUCUAGUUUAGAAAGCAACUUAUCACCAAUACCAAAGAAAAAACAAAGUUUAUAAUCAACUUCAGUGUAGAAGGGAAUGAAUGACUAAUGUAGCAAACUGUUUAUAACAGUUUGGAAGUAUACUGUGUAUAAAAGAAUUUUGAACAAGGUCUUAAGUGAGGAGUGGAAUUUGGAGAAAUGGAAGGAUAGAAAGAACAAAAGGAAGAUAGUCCAAGUUCAAGGAGCAUCAUGAGGAAAAGCACAGGGUCAGACGUUAGCUUCCUGUGGUAGAGGAUUGUCAGUAAGGAAGGCUGGCUCCAGCUCCAGCUCGAGUCAAGGGGAAUCAUGGGGGUUGAGGUUGCAUCAGUAAAGUGGGGUGAGAUGAGAACAAGAAGGGGUGUUGAGAAUCAGUAGAAGCUCGGCCAGCUGCUGAUCUCAUUCCAGAUUCUCUCACCAGGAUUACCUGGUAAUAUCUGGGGGGCAUGGGAUGGGGAAUCAAGGCCACACAAACAGCCAUUCAACUCACUCCGGAGAAUCCAUCAAAAUGUCUUAGUUUAAUAAUGUCCCACCACAGUGGUUUUCAAUGGCCUUCUCUAUAGCCUUAUUAUGUAUCACUGUUGGAUUUGUAAAAAGUGGGUCAGUAAGGG
Molecule: long non-coding RNA, 1103 nt
Organism: Aethalodelphis obliquidens (Pacific white-sided dolphin)
Lineage: Eukaryota; Metazoa; Chordata; Mammalia; Artiodactyla; Delphinidae
Exons: 2
Source: RefSeq, a predicted model, not a curated record